This 30-nucleotide non-coding RNA is filed under the name Mus musculus (house mouse). Lineage: Eukaryota; Metazoa; Chordata; Mammalia; Rodentia; Muridae. The record is from RNAcentral.
UGCCACGUUUGCCACUUAAGGCCAAAAUUG